GAUACAUCUGAUCAUCAAAAUCAUGCAACAAAUGGAGAGAUGCAACCAUUAUGCUUUGUGAUUUUCACCAUGAGAUAUCAUGGACAGAGUGGGUGAAGAAAAAAGAUCACAAUGUUUACCAGCAUCACAAGAAAAUUUCAAACAUGAUUCGCAAUAUUGCUCAUGCUGAUGACUUGGAAAGUUUUAAUAACUCUCUAAAGAUUCUGCAGACAAAUGAGAUAUGGCAGGAAAAAACUAAUUUUAUCAAUUGUCUUCAACAAAGUGGCUGCCAUCCCAGAAGAUGACUGCAUAAGCAAUUACUAGAUGCUGAAGACUACACAAACUCUGAGAGGGUUGCUCUGGAAAGAAAUCCCAUGUGCAUGGUAUGGUCAUAUCAGGGACAUACAGAAAUAGGGGUUGACUGACGUGUGUUACCAGAAAGAUACGUGGUGGUGAUGUUUCCUGAAAACAUUGAGCCUUGGGGAAAACGCUAAAUAAUGAAUAUUAUAUGAAAGAUGUGGGCUCAUGUUUUCCGAAAUAAAGCUGUUCAAUUCUAAAUAAACACAAACAAUGGAUUAGAGAGGCAAAAUGAAAUCUUGAAACAUGCCUACUUGCGUGAUUACAGGAACUGCAAUCUGAGUGAAUUAAUCCAAGUUCUUCAUAAUCAUUUUUUACCGGACAGCUAUAAAAAAUUUACACAGCUCCAGACUCCUCCAGUUGAAGCUUUACACAGAUCCAGACCUGUCUACUCUUUGGAGCUGCACUGUGUGGCUGGCCUGUCUCACCUCAGGAGAGCGACUCAGCGGAUAACGUGGUACACUGAGCAGAUAAGGUGUUGACGUGGAGCAUAGACACUGUGGUGGUCUCUGCCCUAAAAUUAUAGGAGUACUCCAGCACUUAACAAUUUCUCUCCUAUCCUCAUGAUUGUGAACUGCUGGCACCACUUGGAUUCUACUGAACAAGGCCCUGUGUCUCCCUGUUGCAUGGUGCCUGAGGGUUUUAUGUCCACUAUUAAAUCUCAUUUGGAACUAGAGAUA
This is a long non-coding RNA of Hyla sarda, 1016 nucleotides long. RefSeq lists it as uncharacterized. The transcript is spliced from 7 exons. NCBI's taxonomy places the organism in Eukaryota, Metazoa, Chordata, Amphibia, Anura, Hylidae. The record is from RefSeq and is a predicted model, not a curated record.